Molecule: ribosomal RNA, 435 nt
Filed under: uncultured Glomus
Lineage: Eukaryota; Fungi; Glomeromycota; Glomeromycetes; Glomerales; Glomeraceae
Description: SSU rRNA
Rfam family: Eukaryotic small subunit ribosomal RNA
Source: RNAcentral
AGCAGCCGCGGUAAUUCCAGCUCCAAUAGCGUAUAUUAAAGUUGCUGCAGUUAAAAAGCUCGUAGUUGAAUUUCGGGACCAUCAUGUCGGUCGUGCCUCGGUACGUACUGGCAUUGUUGGUUUCUCCCUUCUGACGAACCAUGAUGUCAUUAAUUUGAUGUCAUGGGGAAUCAGGACUGUUACUUUGAAAAAUUAGAGUGUUUAAAGCAGGCUCGCGCUUGAAUACAUUAGCAUGGAAUAAUGAAAUAGGACAUUUGAUUCUAUUUUGUUGGUUUCUAGGAUCGAUGUAAUGAUUAAUAGGGAUAGUUGGGGGCAUUAGUAUUCAAUUGUCAGAGGUGAAAUUCUUGGAUUUAUUGAAGACUAACUACUGCGAAAGCAUUUUGCCAAGGAUGUUUUCAUUAAUCAAGAACGAAAGUUAGGGGAUCGAAGACGAUC